RNAcentral lists this ribosomal RNA (841 nucleotides) under uncultured organism. RNAcentral describes it as "bacterial SSU rRNA". It matches the Rfam family "Bacterial small subunit ribosomal RNA", at positions 144 to 963 of the family's 1533-position model. The record is from RNAcentral.
UAACUCGGCGAAAGCCGGGCUAAUACCGGAUGUGGUCAUUUUUCGCAUGGGAAAUGAUUAAAGGCGGGGAACCUUAGGGUCCUGUCGCUUGAGGAGGAGCCCGCGCCCCAUCAGCUUGUUGGCAGGGUAAUGGCCUACCAAGGCAUACGGGUAGCUGGUCUGAGAGGAUGGUCGGCCACACUGGGACUGAGACACUGCCCAGACUCCUACGGGAGGCUGCAGUCGAGAAUCAUUCACAAUGCGCGAAAGCGUGAUGAUGCGACGCUGCGUGGAGGAUGACGGCCUUCGGGUUGUAAACUCCUGUCAUGAGGGAAAAAUAGGCUCGGCGCUAAUAUCGUCGGGAAUUGAUGGUACCUCAAGAGGAAGCCACGGCUAACUCUGUGCCAGCAGCCGCGGUAAUACAGAGGUGGCAAGCGUUGUUCGGAUUUACUGGGCGUAAAGGGUGCGUAGGCGGUUUUGUAUGUCGGAUGUGAAAGCCCACUGCUCAACGGUGGAAUUGCAUUCGAAACUGCAGGACUAGAGUACAGGAAGGGAGAGCGGAAUUCCUGGUGUAGCGGUGAAAUGCGUUGAUAUCAGGAGGAACACCGGUGGCGAAGGCGGCUCUCUGGAAUGUUACUGACGCUGAGGCACGAAAGCUGGGGGAGCGAACAGGAUUAGAUACCCUGGUAGUCCCAGCUGUAAACGGUGCGCACUUGGUGUGGGGAUUUUGACCGUCCCCGUGCCGUAGCUAACGCGUUAACUGCGCCGNCUGGGGAGUACGGCCGCAAGGCUUAAAACUCAAAGAAAUUGACGGGGUGCCCGGACAAGCGGAGGAGCAUGUGGCUUAAUUCGAUGCAACGCG